CCCAGACUCCUACGGGAGGCAGCAGUGGGGGAUAUUGCACAAUGGGGGAAACCCUGAUGCAGCGACGCCGCGUGGGUGAAGAAGUAUUUCGGUAUGUAAAGCCCUCUCAGCAGGGAAGAAAGAAGACGGUACCUGACUAAGAAGCCCCGGCUAACUACGUGCCAGCAGCCGCGGUAAUACGUAGGGGGCGAGCGUUAUCCGGAUUCACUGGGUGUAAAGGGAGCGUAGACGGCCGUGCAAGCCAGGAGUGAAAGCCCGGGGCCCAACCCCGGGACUGCUCUUGGAACUGUGCGGCUGGAGUGCGGGAGGGGCAGGCGGAAUUCCUGGUGUAGCGGUGAAAUGCGUAGAUAUCAGGAGGAACACCGGCGGCGAAGGCGGCCUGCUGGACCGCGACUGACGUUGAGGCUCGAAAGCGUGGGGAGCGAACAGGAUUAGAUACCCGUGUACC
This 448-nucleotide ribosomal RNA is filed under the name uncultured bacterium. RNAcentral's name for it is "bacterial SSU rRNA". It matches the Rfam family "Bacterial small subunit ribosomal RNA", at positions 330 to 794 of the family's 1533-position model. The record is from RNAcentral.